RNAcentral lists this non-coding RNA (135 nucleotides) under Chloroflexota bacterium. Its description in RNAcentral is "Chloroflexi bacterium FMN sequence". It matches the Rfam family "FMN riboswitch aptamer (RFN element)". Rfam says of the family: The RFN element is a highly conserved domain that is found frequently in the 5'-untranslated regions of prokaryotic mRNAs that encode for flavin mononucleotide (FMN) biosynthesis and transport proteins. This element is a metabolite-dependent riboswitch that directly binds FMN in the absence of proteins. Lineage: Bacteria; Bacillati; Chloroflexota. The record is from RNAcentral.
AAUAACCUUCGGGGCAGGGUGAUAACGUUCCAAACGUUUAUUCCCGACCGGUGGUAAAGCCCACGAGCCAUGUUCAUGGCAUGAUCCGGUGUAACUCCGGAGCCGACGGUAUAGUCCGGAUGAAAGAAGGCUGAG